UGAGGAAUUUUCCGCAAUGGGCGAAAGCCUGACGGAGCAAUGCCGCGUGAAGGAAGACGCCUUUCGGGGUGUAAACUUCUUUUAUCAGGGAAGAAGACAUGACGGUACCUGAUGAAUAAGGAUCGGCUAACUACGUGCCAGCAGCCGCGGUAAUACGUAGGAUCCAAGCGUUAUCCGGAAUCAUUGGGCGUAAAGCGUGUGUAGGCGUCCAUAUAAGUUUCUCGUUAAAGCCCGGGGCUCAACUCCGGAAUCGUGAGGAAUACUGUAUGGAUGGAGAUACGGAGAGGCAGACGGAAUUCCUAGUGUAGCAGUGAAAUGCGUAGAUAUUAGGAAGAACACCAAUGGCGAAGGCAGUCUGCUGGCCGUCAUCUGACGCUGAGACACGAAAGCGUGGGGAGCGAACGGGAUUAGAUACCCCCGUAGUCC
This 426-nucleotide ribosomal RNA is filed under the name uncultured bacterium. RNAcentral describes it as "bacterial SSU rRNA". It matches the Rfam family "Bacterial small subunit ribosomal RNA", at positions 355 to 796 of the family's 1533-position model. The record is from RNAcentral.